GUGCACGUAACUUUCUCGCAUUAAGUUGCAAGGGGAGGGGGAAAUUGGGGUCCCCUCCGGUUGCGGGGCACGGAAAG
This 77-nucleotide small RNA is filed under the name unclassified sequences. RNAcentral's name for it is "Corio-PBP RNA". It matches the Rfam family "Corio-PBP RNA". The record is from Rfam by way of RNAcentral.